RNAcentral lists this transfer RNA (86 nucleotides) under Bombardia bombarda. It matches the Rfam family "tRNA". Rfam says of the family: Transfer RNA (tRNA) molecules are approximately 80 nucleotides in length. Lineage: Eukaryota; Fungi; Ascomycota; Sordariomycetes; Sordariales; Lasiosphaeriaceae. The record is from Rfam by way of RNAcentral.
GCCCGGCUGGCGCAAUGGUAGCGCGCAAGACUUCUAUCAAAAGUCAAUCAAUCUUGAGGCUGUGGGUUCGAGUCCCACGUCGGGUG